Molecule: unclassified non-coding RNA, 379 nt
Filed under: soil metagenome
Description: partial contains 5.8S ribosomal RNA, internal transcribed spacer 2, and large subunit ribosomal RNA
Rfam family: 5.8S ribosomal RNA (bases 1-120)
Source: RNAcentral
GAUGAAGAACGCAGUGAAAUGCGAUAAGUAAUGUGAAUUGCAGAAUUCAGUGAAUCAUCGAAUCUUUGAACGCACCUUGCACCCUUUGGCAUUCCGAAGGGUAUGCUCGUUUGAGUGUCAUUGUACUCUCACACUUCCAAUCUUUGGAUUGGGAGCAGUGGACUUGGGUGUUGCUGCUUACUGUGGCUCACCUCAAAUCGAUUCGUGCACCUCUUGGUUGGACAUAGUACGGCGUGAUAAGUGUCUUCGCCGGCACCUCAGUAGAGGGUGGCUGAUCAGGAGCUCUGUGCUUCAAACCGUCCUCGGACAAAAACUGACAACUUGACCUCAAAUCGAGUAGGACUACCCGCUGAACUUAAGCAUAUCAAUAAGCGGAGGA